AUUGAACGCUGGCGGCAUGCCUUACACAUGCAAGUCGAACGGCAGCACGGGAGCAAUCCUGGUGGCGAGUGGCGAACGGGUGAGUAAUAUAUCGGAACGUGCCCAGUCGUGGGGGAUAACGUAGCGAAAGCUACGCUAAUACCGCAUACGAUCUAUGGAUGAAAGCGGGGGAUCGCAAGACCUCGCGCGAUGGGAGCGGCCGAUAGCAGAUUAGGUAGUUGGUGAGGGAAAGGCUAACCAAGCCGACGAUCUGUAGCUGGUCUGAGAGGACGACCAGCCACACUGGGACGUAGAAACGGCCGAGACUCCUACGGGAGGCAGCAGUGGGGAAUUUUGGACAAUGGGCGCAAGCCUGAUCCAGAAAUGCCGCGUGCAGGAUGAAGGCCUUCGGGUUGUAAACUGCUUUUGUACGGAACGAAACGGCGAGCUCUAAUACAGUUUGCUAAUGACGGUACCGUAAGAAUAAGCACCGGCUAACUACGUGCCAGCAGCCGCCGUAA
RNAcentral lists this ribosomal RNA (500 nucleotides) under uncultured bacterium. Its description in RNAcentral is "partial 16S ribosomal RNA". It matches the Rfam family "Bacterial small subunit ribosomal RNA", at positions 29 to 523 of the family's 1533-position model. The record is from RNAcentral.